UAUAACUGUCAAUAUUUCAUUCCAUUUUGUGUGUAUUUUAAUAUUUAAAAAAUAUUAUAAAACAGCCGACACGUCGGUAAAAUGAAUACCAUAAUGAAAUAUAAGAAUAGAUAUUAAUAUAUUAUUAUAAUGUAACCUUAUUCUUAUAUACUAAGAAAAAUGAUUUUUAAAAUAACUUUAACUUUCAUUCAAUAGUUUAUAUAAUUUAGACGUAACUAGGGUACACAGUUUAGAAAUAAUGGAAGUACUUAUUUCAAAAAAAAUAAUUUUAUCUUUGCUAUUGUUAGCUACUAUAUCUUUAUAUGUAUCUUUCGUAUUCAAUUCGUGUGUAAUAUCUGGUCUAUCCAAAGCAAUACCUAAAUGGCAAACUCAUCCGGUAAUACCAAACGAAAUACCUUUAGUUCAUUAUUCAGCUUCCGUUCGUGUAGUAUCUUUAUUAGAAGAAAACGAAACUGACAUAUCGCCAAAAUACAAAUUUUUUAGAGAACAGGGUUUAAGACCGGAAAGACAGUUACCAAGUGCUUUAAUUAUCGGUGUUAAAAAAGGAGGUACUAGAGCACUUCUCGAAUUCAUCCGCAUACAUCCAGAUGUGAGAGCAGCUGGUAGCGAAGUUCAUUUUUUUGAUAAAAAUUACGCGAGAGGUUUCCAAUGGUACCGAAAACACAUGCCAGCUACUCUGGAAGGUCAACUUACCAUCGAAAAAACCCCUUCGUAUUUUAUUACCAGAGAAGCCCCGCGCCGAGUGCAUCUAAUGAAUCCAUCCACUAAAUUACUCGUAGUUGUAAGAGACCCCGUUACAAGGGCCAUAUCUGAUUAUGCUCAAGCUAUUUCCAAGAAAGUCGACAUGAAACCGUUCGAACAAUUAGUUUUUGUCAACGGUUCCAUCGGUAGUAUCGUAGAUACGUCUUGGGGCCCCAUAAAACUAGGAAUAUACGCUAGAUAUCUAACGAGAUGGUUGAAAUUUUUUCCUCUGUCUCAAUUUCUGUUCGUCAGUGGGGAACGUUUGGUCUUGGACCCGGCGAUCGAGCUGCGUCGCGUUCAAGAUUUUUUAGGUCUUAAGAGAGUCGUUACGGAAAAACAUUUUUAUUUCAACUCCACGAAAGGUUUUCCUUGUUUGUUUAAAAGCGAGGGGCAUUCGGCGCCCCAUUGUUUGGGAAAAACUAAAGGGCGCAGUCACCCCUACGUUAAUCCAGUGGUUUUACAAAGGCUUAGAGAUUUUUUUAGGCCUUUCAAUAAUCAUUUUUAUCAGAUGACUGGGAUUCAUUUCGGUUGGGCUUGAAAUAUGGUGUUGUUGGAUUUUUUUUGUAUUUUUAGAAUUAUUUAUUGAAUUUUGAGGAUGAUAUGGCGCGAAAUGUAGUGGUAUUUAAACGAUUGGCUCAUUUUUAUUUAUCUCAACAGUUUUGUACGACUGUUUGAUGGCAGACAAGUUUUAAACACUCAUAGUAUAUUUUCCUCAAUUCUAGAGGCUAAAACGAAAAAAAAUUUAGUAAAAAUUGUAAUUUCUAACACUUAAUAAUAUUAGAUGUUUUAUUUAACUAACCUCAAAAUUUAUUAGUUUUUUGCAUUUUUCUCGAAAGUUUUGAGGUUAUGUGGAAAAACGUAUCUUACGAAAUUUGUAGAUUUUUCAAUUCUAAACAACUUUUGCUCAACACAUUUUUUGGUAGGAAGCCUUCUUUUUUCAUAAAUCGUAUUUGAAUAUCGAAAAUUGCAGUAUUUGCAUUUUUUUCAGAAAAUUUUGAGUUUAGGUGAAAAUGUUAUAUGAAGAAAAUUGUAGAUUUUUCAAUUCUAAACAACUUUUCCUUAACACAUUUUUUGGUAGGAAGCCUUCUUUUUUCGUAAAUCGUAUUUGAACAUCUAAAAUUGAAAGUUUAUGCAUUUUUUCCAUAAAAUUUUGAGGUUAGGUGAAAAUGUUAUAUAAAGAAAAUUGUAGAUUUUAAUUCUAAACAACUUUUCCUCAACACAUUUUUUGGUAGGAAGCCUUCUUUUUUCAUAAAUCGUAUUUGAAUAUCGAAAAUUGCAGUUUUUGCAUUUUUUCCAGAAAAUUUUGAGGUUAGGUGAAAAUGUUAUAUAAAGAAAAUUGUAGAUUUUAAUUCUAAACAACUUUUCCUCAACACAUUUUUUGGUAGGAAGCCUUCUUUUUUCAUAAAUCGUAUUUGAAUAUCGAAAAUUGCAGUAUUUGCAUUUUUUUCAGAAAAUUUUGAGGUUAGGUGAAAAUGUUAUAUGAAGAAAAUUGUAGAUUUUUCAAUUCUAAACAACUUUUCCUCAACACAUUUUUUGGUAGGAAGCCUUCUUUUUUCAUAAAUCGUCUUUGAAUAUCGAAAAUUGCAGUUUUUACAUUUUUUCCAGAAAAUUUUGAGGUUAGGUGAAAAUGUUAUAUAAAGAAAAUUGUAGAUUUUAAUUCUAAACAACUUUUCCUCAACACAUUUUUUGGUAGGAAGCCUUCUUUUUUCAUAAAUCGUAUUUGAAUAUCGAAAAUUGCAGUUUUUGCAUUUUUCCAGAAAAUUUUGAGGUUAGGUGAAAAUGUUAUAUAAAGAAAAUUGUAGAUUUUUCAAUUCUAAACAACUUUUCUCUAACACAUUUUUUGGUAGGAAGCCUUCUUUUUUCAUAAAUCGUAUUUGAAUAUCGAAAAUUGCAGUUUUUACAUUUUUUCAGAAAAUAUUGAGGUUAUGUGAAAAUGUUAUAUAAAGAAAAUUGUAGAUUUUUUAAUUAUAAACAACUUUUCCUCAACACAUUUUUUGGUAGGAAGCCUUCUUUUUUCAUAAAUCGUAUUUGAAUAUCGAAAAUUGCAGUUUUUACAUUUUUUCAGAAAAUAUUGAGGUUAUGUGAAAAUGUUAUAUAAAGAAAAUUGUAGAUUUUUUAAUUAUAAACAACUUUUCCUCAACACAUUUUUUGGUAGAAAGCCUUCUUUUUUCGUAAAUCGCAUUUGAACAUCUAAAAUUGAAAGUUUAUGCAUUUUUUCCAUAAAAUUUUGAGGUUAGGUGAAAAUGUUAUAUAAAGAAAAUUGUAGAUUUUUUAAUUCUAAACAACUUUUCCUUGAUGAAUUUUCUGAUAUAAAGUCUAAUUUAUUCUUAAAAUGUACUUGAAACAUAAGAAAUAAGAUUUUUUCAUUUUUUUCGUAAACUUUGAGGUUAGGUAAAAAAGUAUUCAAUAUAAACAGAAGAUUUUUUAUUUCUCUCUGAUAUAUUACUCAAUAGAAAAACCAGUUACGCUAUAUGAAGGACAGAUCCGUACUAAACUGUGAAUCUAAACAUUACCACUAUUUUUCAAGCAGUAUUUCAUCAAUAUUGGAAUGUAUUUUAUCUACGGCACUUUUAUAUAAAUCAUUUAUACAUUUUUUGUGACACCUUAAAUUAAUUAGAAUCAGUAUUUAAUCGCCAAUUAAAAAAAAAUUCUAAAUUUGGUCGUAAAUUAUAACAAAAUGAAUUUACAUAAGUACAGUCCUGGAUAAAAUAUACCCAAUGAAUGUUAAAUAAACUCGAAUUAUCAUUUUUUUGGUUAAUAUUUCGAAUUUUUCUAGUCAAAAGUGUUUUAUUAGUUUUAAAUCUUAUAUUGUUGAUUUUACAUAUGUUUUAUUAUAAGUUUAUCGAUUUUAAGAGAGCAAAUGACAUUAAUUUAAUCUUGUUGAUUAAUUUUUUACGUAUUUACACAAUAUAACGUGUUGAGUUUCAUUAUUUAUCUAUGGAAAUGAUCAGUUUUGGUGGAAUGUUCCACUUAGUAGAACGUAGACACUGUCAAUUGACUAUAUUUAGAAUACACGGUUUAUACAAAAAAUUCAACUAAGUAAGUAGGGUAUUUAAAAAAAAAACAACAUUUUUGCACAUUAUUUGCAUUCGUUUGUCACUUGCCUAUUCAAAAACAACUUUUUUUGAAUACUGUCAAUUAUAUUAAACUCGAUUUGUACUCAACCAAAAUUAUUGUACAAGGGAUAUAGAAAUUUUCAUCGAACAACGUUUUGUUUAUUUUAUACACAUUUUUUUGUAGUUGAUUACGGAUAUUUGUAACCAAAGCGAUUGUACCAAAGUAAUAAAAUCACGCUUACGAUAUAAUUGUUGAAGCUAUAGCAAUAAUAAAGUUUUUUAUCCAAAUAAAA
This is an RNA transcript of Diorhabda carinulata, 4090 nucleotides long. It is a transcript of the gene named heparan sulfate glucosamine 3-O-sulfotransferase 3B1, with no coding region annotated. NCBI's taxonomy places the organism in Eukaryota, Metazoa, Arthropoda, Insecta, Coleoptera, Chrysomelidae. The record is from RefSeq and is a predicted model, not a curated record. The transcript is spliced from 5 exons.